GGGCCUUGUACACACCGCCCGUCACACCAUGGGAGUGGGUUGCAAAAGAAGUAGGUAGCUUAACCCUCGGGAGGGCGCUUACCACUUUGUGAUUCAUGACUGGGGUGAAGUCGUAACAAGGUAACCGUAGGGGAACCUGCGGUUGGAUCACCUCCUUA
Molecule: ribosomal RNA, 158 nt
Filed under: Plesiomonas shigelloides
Lineage: Bacteria; Pseudomonadati; Pseudomonadota; Gammaproteobacteria; Enterobacterales; Enterobacteriaceae
Description: partial 16S rRNA
Rfam family: Bacterial small subunit ribosomal RNA
Source: RNAcentral